This 720-nucleotide long non-coding RNA is filed under the name Marmota monax (woodchuck). The record is from RNAcentral. Lineage: Eukaryota; Metazoa; Chordata; Mammalia; Rodentia; Sciuridae.
GCCGUGACAACCCAGUUCUGCGUCCACGUCCCUGCGGCUGCGGCCCGGUCCUGCCCUCCGGGAGAUUCGCCGCUCCCGCCCUGCGACUUGGUGUCGCGGACGUCCUCUGCCCCAGAGGCCCAUUCCCGGGGAGUUCGGGGGCAGGGACCGCGGACAGCCCGGUCUGGGGCGGAGAAGCCACGAGCGCCCUUCGCGGACUCCAUCCCCGCCGCCGGUCCCCUCCCGCACCGAGUCUUCCUGGGCCCCGUCCCCGCGCCUUCUCUUCCAGCCCUGGCCAGAGGUCUUGGGGCCUCCCUGAAGGGGGCGGCUCUCAGGCACCCAGAGCGCGGCGGGCCCUUGCCCCACCCCCAAGUUCAGGUCUGGGGUCAGCCGAAGGAAGGACCCGAGAUUGGCAGCUCAGACCGUCAGGGCCCACGCCUUGGCCCAGUCGUAGGGAAGUGGGAGGAUGCCACGAGCUGCAAGCCCCGUGUGGACAGGGAAGGAAGUGUGGCCUCAGCCCGAAUGCUGGACCCCGCAGAGCGGUCCCAACGAAUCAGCGUCUAACGAAGAAAGAAUGACAACGUGAAUGUGAUGUAAUGUGAGCUUCGGAGGGAGGCUUGUUGCUCCUGUUCAUCCAGCAAUCUGGCUGAAAGGAAAGUUACAGCAACUGGGGAAAAGUACAGUUGGUUGGAGAAUUUGGUUUAAAAAUAAAUAAAUAAGGUUUAAAUUAUGUAACUAACA